RNAcentral lists this long non-coding RNA (868 nucleotides) under Vulpes vulpes (red fox). Its description in RNAcentral is "lncRNA (ENSVVUG00000015649.1)". The record is from RNAcentral. Lineage: Eukaryota; Metazoa; Chordata; Mammalia; Carnivora; Canidae.
UCUAUUUCACAGUUGCAUGUUGGAUAUGCAUUGGGGGAGAGAUAAAUAACUAGUACCCAGACGGCCGGUACCUUCAAGCAGAGGCCCUACAGCGUGGCUGUACCUGCCUUCUCCCAGGGUCUAGAUGACUACGGAGCACGGGCUGUGAGCAGGAACCCCUUUGCCAGCGUCCAGCUGAAGCCGACCGUGACCAAUGACAGCAUGAGUACAACCCUGGACUUUUCUUCUUCGAAAGACGGAGAGGAGAGGCCUUUGAGUAUAAAAUGGAGGAGAGUGAGGAUGAGAAAAGGAAGAACUAGCAUUGUCUAGUGAUAUGAGAUGUACAUGUCACAUACUUCUGAGUUACAGUGGCUUGAACUUCAUUCAGGGGCAUUCACAACCACUAUAAUCAGAAAACUUCUUAAGCAUCAUGGAGAAAACCCUGAACACCAGCAGAUGUAUGUGAAUGGAGAAUAUGACAGAGAAGGGACAAGAAAUCUCAGUGUCAUAAAUGGUCAAUCUACUCUUAACUGAGCCCUCCAACUAUAUCAACACCUGAUUCUAAUGACAACUAAUCUUGUGACAUUAAUGAAAAUGCCUGUGUAUCUGUAAAUGAAUCAGAAGCUUCUGUUUAGUAAGGACUCCAGAACUUUGACAGAGGAAGUGCUAUGGAAAGAAAUGUUCUAGGAACUAGGAAAAUUAUGUAGCAGACACAAUAUUUUGAUUUAGAUUGUGUGUUUACUUAUGGUGGCUGGAGGAAGGGUAGCCUGGUCUUGGAGAUUUUCAGUAUUCUAAUGUCCAUCUCCCUCCCUAGGCCAUACUUUGAGUUCUCCCUGCCUUUGUCCUUAAAAAUAAUAAAGAGACUCAUCUUGGGUGCCUUGAAAUGACA